RNAcentral lists this ribosomal RNA (250 nucleotides) under uncultured bacterium. Its description in RNAcentral is "partial 16S ribosomal RNA". It matches the Rfam family "Bacterial small subunit ribosomal RNA", at positions 524 to 773 of the family's 1533-position model. The record is from RNAcentral.
CACGGGGGGAGCAAGCGUUGUUCGGAAUCACUGGGCGUAAAGGGCGUCUAGGCGGUCAGGUAAGUGGGAUGUGAAAUGCCCCGGCUCACCCGGGGACCGGCAUCCCAUACUGUCUGGCUUGAGUACGGGAGAGGAUGUGGGAAUUCCUGGUGUAGCGGUGAAAUGCGUAGAUAUCAGGAGGAACACCGGUGGCGAAGGCGCACAUCUGGCCCGAUACUGACGCUGAAGCGCGAAGGCUAGGGGAGCAAAC